Molecule: long non-coding RNA, 236 nt
Organism: Carcharodon carcharias (great white shark)
Lineage: Eukaryota; Metazoa; Chordata; Chondrichthyes; Lamniformes; Lamnidae
Exons: 3
Source: RefSeq, a predicted model, not a curated record
ACCGGAUCCGCGGGAGACACCUCGACUCGGGAGCAGAUAAAAGAGAGGGUGAGGCCCGGGGCCUUCCCUUUCCUUCAGGGAGAAGAGAGAAUGGAACCUGACCGACUCGGGGGUUGGUUGCCCUGAUGGGAAUCUGUAAACUGCCUGUCAACUAGAAGGUAAGAUGCCUUGUUGCUCCACCGCCUUGACCAACCUGGGGCCACAAUUUACAAGAGGUCUUCUAUUUAGCAGGGCAG